This 1311-nucleotide long non-coding RNA is filed under the name Daphnia magna. RNAcentral describes it as "uncharacterized LOC116921524, transcript variant X3". The record is from RNAcentral. Lineage: Eukaryota; Metazoa; Arthropoda; Branchiopoda; Diplostraca; Daphniidae.
UUAGUUUGGGGUUUUUUCUGAUUCCAAGUGUUUGCUACUCUGGAUCCGUUUCAUCCAAAAAUCGAUUGAUUGAGUGGAAAACUAAUAUUUUAUUCUGAAUUAGCUUCUCAUUUUGGUUGUAAUAGAUUAAGUUUUAUUGAAUUCCAAGUCAAAAUUCUAAACCGAACUUUCGGACUUAAUUCCGACUUCACACUAAUCGGACUUUUUAUACAAUAAGUCGGUCUUAAAAUGUCGGGCUUAAUUAAUGAAGUAAAACUAGAUAUCUUAUCAAUAGAUGGCUACACUGUUUAGUGGAUCGUCUGCAGUAAAAAUUCAUAUCAGAUGUGGCCUAGUUGUUAUGUAAUUUUGCAGCUGUGGACUUUCUUUAGAUGACACUUGUAUCGGAAAUAUUUUCCUGUUUCUUGGAACAAGAAACAUAGAAUGUGUGUCUUGAUGCCAACUAAGUGUCACUAAGUGUCAUUGGAAAGAUGUUAAGCAGGAGAAACCUUAAGUUGGAGGAUGAUACAUUUGUUUCCCGUUUGUUCCUAGUUUUGUAAAACAAAUGGGAAAUUGGUAAAAUGAAACAACAUAUUACCUAUUACUUUAAAUAAAUUGUUUUUAAAAGUGGAGAUUGAUUCCAAAUCUUCAGCUUCCCAGGCAGACACCCAUCCACAAAGCCAUGGGUGAUAGAUGAUGUUCACAGUGGGCACGACUGUGUUGUAAAUUGGUGUCACUUUAACAAAGCCAAACAGAUUUAGAUCACGUGUCUACUGUGAAAGAGAUAAUGUGUUUCAACGAAAAUGGCUCUCCCCAGUGUGUCCCAUGUGAUGCAGAACUCUUGAAAUCAAGUUGAAUGUUUUGAACCAUCUUAGGACAAAGCUGAAGUUCUAGUUUGCAGUGGUAUUAGAAAAGUCGUCGUUUUUUUGGUUAGAGUUUCUUCGCCGUCCGAUGCAUCAGUUGGAAGGAUGUUCACUUCCUCGACAUCAUUGCUCCCGCAAAUCGGAAGAGGGUAUCCUUUUCCUUGACUUAAAGGACAGAAAUUUAAGCAUUAGCAAGUCAUCCGCAUCCGAACAGAUCAAAUGCACGAAGUAUUCCGCCUCGUCCGGCAACUUACGAUCCAGCAACGCAUCCAUCAACAGAAUGUAUUAAAGAGGAAAGUAAUGACCUAAUGCCGACUGGACGAUUUCCAUGCAAGAUGAAUGUUAAAAUCCAAGGAUAUCUGGAGAACCAUUAGCUGAAUACAAUAAAUACUAUCAGUUCUCCAGAACAAGAGGCCAACAUAGGUUAAUAAUCAUGACUGAAUCAAAAGAGGUACAUACUUGAACGAGAUUU